This 492-nucleotide ribosomal RNA is filed under the name uncultured bacterium. RNAcentral describes it as "partial 16S ribosomal RNA". It matches the Rfam family "Bacterial small subunit ribosomal RNA", at positions 29 to 507 of the family's 1533-position model. The record is from RNAcentral.
AGUGAACGCUGGCGGUAGGCCUAACACAUGCAAGUCGAACGGCAGCACAGUAAGAGCUUGCUCUUACGGGUGGCGAGUGGCGGACGGGUGAGGAAUACAUCGGACUCUACUUUUUCGUGGGGGUUAACGUAGGGAAACUUACGCUAAUACCGCAUACGACCUACGGGUGAAAGCAGGGGAUCUUCGGACCUUGCGCGAUUGAAUGAGCCGAUGUCGGAUUAGCUAGUUGGCGGGGUAAAGGCCCACCCAGGCGGCGAUCCGUAGCUGGUCUGAGAGGAUGAUCAGCCACACUGGAAGUGAGACACGGUCCAGACUCCUACGGGAGGCAGCAGUGGGGAAUAUUGGACAAUGGGCGCAAGCCUGAUCCAGCCAGACCGCGUGGGUGAAGAAGGCCUUCGGGUUGUAAAGCCCUUUUGUUGGGAAAGAAAAGCAGCAGGUUAAUACCCCGCUGUUCUGACGGUACCCAAAGAAUAAGCACCGGCUAACUUCGUG